CAGGCUGGACAUGCAGGUAGUAGAAGGCUAAAACUCAAAGAAAUUGACGGGGGCUCACACAAGCGGUGGAGCAUGUUGCUUAAUUCGAGGCAACGCGAAGAACCUUACCUGGGUUUGACAUGGUCGGAUUAACUCCUGGAAACAGGAGCCACACCCGCAAGGGUGGAACGAUCACAGGUGCUGCAUGGCUGUCGUCAGCUCGUGCUGUGAAGUGUCGGGUUAAGUCCUCUAACGAGCGCAACCCCUAUCGUUAGUUGCUCGGCGAAAGCCAGUACUCUAGCGAGACUGCCGGUGUCAAACCGGAGGAAGGUGGGGAUGACGUAAUCGGAUUCUAAG
This 336-nucleotide unclassified non-coding RNA is filed under the name uncultured Phycisphaeraceae bacterium. Its description in RNAcentral is "contains 16S-23S intergenic spacer region". It matches the Rfam family "Bacterial small subunit ribosomal RNA", at positions 869 to 1198 of the family's 1533-position model. Lineage: Bacteria; Pseudomonadati; Planctomycetota; Phycisphaerae; Phycisphaerales; Phycisphaeraceae. The record is from RNAcentral.